RNAcentral lists this ribosomal RNA (497 nucleotides) under uncultured bacterium. RNAcentral describes it as "partial 16S ribosomal RNA". It matches the Rfam family "Bacterial small subunit ribosomal RNA", at positions 28 to 507 of the family's 1533-position model. The record is from RNAcentral.
GAUGAACGCUGGCGGCGUGCCUAAUACAUGCAAGUCGAGCGAACAGACGAGGAGCUUGCUCCUCUGACGUUAGCGGCGGACGGGUGAGUAACACGUGGAUAACCUACCUAUAAGACUGGGAUAACUUCGGGAAACCGGAGCUAAUACCGGAUAAUAUAUUGAACCGCAUGGUUCAAUAGUGAAAGACGGCUUUGCUGUCUCUUAUAGAUGGAUCCGCGCCGCAUUAGCUAGUUGGUAAGGUAACGGCUUAUCAAGGCAACGAUGCGUAGCCGACCUGAGAGGGUGAUCGCCGACCUGGGAGGGGAGACGGGGUCCAGACUCCUACGAUACGCCGCAGUCGGGAAUCGUACGCAAUGGGCGAGAGCAUGACGGAGUAACGGCGCGUGAGAGAUGACGGUGUUCGGAGCGUAAAACUCUGUUAUUAGGGAAGAACAAAUGUGUAAGUAACUAUGCCGGUAUUGACGGUACCUGGUCAGAAAGCCACGGCUAACUACGUG